GGGUCUAUAGGUAUCUAUGGGGGAUCUAUGGGGUCUAUGGGGAUCUAUGGGGUCUAUGGGGGAUCUAUGGGGUCUAUGGGGAUCUAUGGGGGAUCUACGGGGUCUAUGGGGUCUAUGGGGUCUAUGGGGUUGUGGGUCCCGCUCUGACCCCACACUUUUUCUCCCCCCAACAGUGAAGGCGUCGGAGCUGACCAGGGCACAACCGGUGUGCGGCCGCCCCAUGGCUGUGGGGCUGACCCGUAACGUGGGGGGUGAGGACGCCAUGGCUGGUCAAUGGCCAUAGAACCCCAUAGAGCCCCAUAGAACCCCAUAGAGCNCCCAUAGAACCCCAUAGAGCCCCAUAGAGCCCCAUAGAGCCCCAUAGAGACCCAUAGAACCCCAUAGAGCCCCAUAGAGCCCCAUAGAGACCCAUAGAGACCCAUAGAACCCCAUAGAGACCCAUAGAGACCCAUAGAGCCCCAUAGAGACCCAUAGAGACCCAUAGAGCCCCAUAGAGACCCAUAGAGACCCAUAGAACCCCAUAGAGCCCCAUAGAGCCCCAUAGAGACUCAUAGAGCCCCAUAGAGACCCCAUAGAGACCCAUAGAGACCCAUAGAGACCCAUAGAACCCCAUAGAGACCCAUAGAGCCCCAUAGAACCCCAUAGAGCCCCAUAGAGCCCCAUAGAGACCCCAUAGAAGCCCCAUAGAGCCCCAUAGAACCCCAUAGAGACCCAUAGAACCCCAUAGAGACCCAUAGAGACCCAUAGAACCCCAUAGAGCCCCAUAGAGACCCAUAGAGACCCAUAGAACCCCAUAGAGACCCCAUAGGGCCUCAUAGAUCCCAUAGAACCCCAUAGAGACCCCAUAGAGACCCACAGAGACCCCAUAGAGACCCCAUAGGGCCUCAUAGAUCCCAUAGAACCCCAUAGAGACCCCAUAGAGACCCACAGAGACCCCAUAGAGACCCCAUAGAGCCCCCAAUGAUCCCAUAGAGACCCCAUAGAGACCCCAUAGAGCCCCGUAGAGCCCCAUACAGCCCCAUACAGCCCCAUAGAGAUCCAUAGGGCCCCAUAGAGCCCCAUAGAGUCCCAUAGAGCCCCAUAGAGACCCCAUAGAGCCCCAUAGUACCCCAUAGAGACCCAUAGACACCCAUAGAGACCCAUGGACACCCAUAGAGCCCCAUAGACACCCACAGAGCCCCAUAGAACCCCAUAGAGACCCCAUAGAACCCCAUAGUGACCCCAUAGAGACCCCAUAGAGCCCCAUAGAGGCCCCAUAGAGAUACAUAGUACCACAUAGUGAC
This 1283-nucleotide long non-coding RNA is filed under the name Coturnix japonica (Japanese quail). RNAcentral describes it as "lncRNA (ENSCJPG00005004781.1)". Lineage: Eukaryota; Metazoa; Chordata; Aves; Galliformes; Phasianidae. The record is from RNAcentral.